This 448-nucleotide long non-coding RNA is filed under the name Zea mays. RNAcentral's name for it is "long non-coding RNA (ZMAY_LNC002546)". The record is from RNAcentral. Lineage: Eukaryota; Viridiplantae; Streptophyta; Magnoliopsida; Poales; Poaceae.
CAAACCCUAACAACGCAUUUCGCUCCCCACAGCGGCUCGGCCACAACCCACAGCCAGAAGGUCUCGAGCUGGAUCUCUACCGUUCCAGCAGACAGCAGUGCGCGCUCUCUCUCUCCCUCGUGGCGACGACUGGGCGACCGCUGCCGCUGCCGCUGCCGCUGCCGCUGCCCUUGUGCCCCGGUCUCCGUCGGUCCGUUCGCCAGGUCUCCUGCGGGCUCUUCGUCGUCGACAAGCUCCGCCUGGUACGACCACCCUUCUCUUCCGUUCCUGCUGUGCGAAGCUGAGCAUCCAAACCCUAACUAUCAAAUUAGAAGUGUAUACAUGUAAAUACAUGUAUUCUGUCUAUUAACUUCGAAUUUUUUGCCACAAUUAUUGGCUGCACACCUAUGUACUUUACUGCAUUCACCCCUGCUAGUCUGAUGGGUUCAGUUGAGCAGUGACAUCGUGA